This is a long non-coding RNA of Rana temporaria (common frog), 410 nucleotides long. RefSeq lists it as uncharacterized. Lineage: Eukaryota; Metazoa; Chordata; Amphibia; Anura; Ranidae. The record is from RefSeq and is a predicted model, not a curated record. The transcript is spliced from 3 exons.
GCUGCAUGACGCACGUGCGCACCCUUGCGCCUACGUCAUGCAUGCGCCCAGACCCGCCGACGUCCUCCACCUGUGCCCACCGACGCCCGUCCCCUGAUUGGCCCUGGGGGUUCAAAAGCAGGCACUUCCGUACCUGCAGUGCUAUGGAUGUUGGACCCUGAACAUGCUGUGACCUUAUCUGGUGCACAGUACCACUGGUAGGUGUCCUUACCCUGACGCCACCAUGAGACCCUAUGCGGUCUCCCUCCCCCCGGGAUCCAAUACCUUGGAUCCCCUUGUAUGGAGGUCACUAGUGGCCCGAGAAGUCCUUACCCGGGCUCCUGUGUUUGGGGCCCCCUACCUGCACUACAGACCAUUGUAUUCAAGUAGGUCCAUCUGCCCAUACACGUACCCCAUGGUUGUCACACGGG